This 403-nucleotide long non-coding RNA is filed under the name Homo sapiens (human). RNAcentral's name for it is "non-protein coding lnc-TK2-4:4". The record is from RNAcentral. Lineage: Eukaryota; Metazoa; Chordata; Mammalia; Primates; Hominidae.
UCUGAGUGAAGAACAUGCCAGGCCCACCUGUGGACUCCAGUCGCUGGUGAUGAAGCACCUGUCAUUCUGGAUAAGGAUAGCAUGUUCAUAAAAGGGAAAUGAGUGGAGAAGGAGGGAAGGAGUUGUGAGCAAAGCAUUUAAAGCGUUGCCAGAAUAUAAGCAACAGUGCUUCAUGUCGUGAAAAACUGAGAAAAGGAGUCUUUAUGUACAGGAAGAACUCAGCAGCUGACCUCAAGAAGAAAGGAAAACAUCCUCUCUUCACUUUUCUCUGGGAUGCCUGUGCCCAGGGUCUUGAGUUUCCGACUGGGGCAUAAUGGAUUUUUGGUGGCCUGUGACUUUAUUAUGGGUCUUUUCCCAAAGUGUUUUGAAAUGAUUUUAUCCAACAUGGAUGUCUUGAUCCAAG